RNAcentral lists this ribosomal RNA (439 nucleotides) under uncultured bacterium. Its description in RNAcentral is "partial 16S ribosomal RNA". It matches the Rfam family "Bacterial small subunit ribosomal RNA", at positions 339 to 795 of the family's 1533-position model. The record is from RNAcentral.
UUACGGGCGGCACCAGUGAGGAAUAUUGCACAAUGGGGGGAACCCUGAUGCAGCAACGCCGCGUGGAGGAUGACGCAUUUCGGUGUGUAAACUCCUUUUAUAUGUCAAGAAAAUGACGGUAGCAUAUGAAUAAGCACCGGCUAACUCCGUGCCAGCAGCCGCGGUAAUACGGAGGGUGCAAGCGUUACUCGGAAUCACUGGGCGUAAAGGACGCGUAGGCGGGUUGGAAAGUCAGGUGUGAAAUCCUACAGCUUAACUGUAGAACUGCACUUGAAACUUCUAAUCUAGAGUAUGGGAGGGGGAGAUGGAAUUAGUGGUGUAGGGGUAAAAUCCGUAGAUAUCACUAGGAAUACCUAAAGCGAAGGCGAUCUCCUGGAACAUUACUGACGCUAAGGCGUGAAAGCGUGGGGAGCAGACAGGAUUAGAUACCCGGGUAGUC